This 157-nucleotide ribosomal RNA is filed under the name uncultured bacterium. RNAcentral describes it as "partial 16S ribosomal RNA". It matches the Rfam family "Bacterial small subunit ribosomal RNA", at positions 355 to 529 of the family's 1533-position model. The record is from RNAcentral.
UGGGGAAUAUUGCACAAUGGGCGCAAGCCUGAUCCAGCAAUGCCGCGUGAGUGAUGAAGGCCUUAGGGUUGUAAAGCUCUUUUACCCGGGAUGAUAAUGACAGUACCGGGAGAAUAAGCUCCGGCUAACUCCGUGCCAGCAGCCGCGGUAAUACUUC